GUGCUCACUUCGGCAGCACAUACACUAAAACUAGAACGAUACAGAGAAGGUUAGCUUGGCCCCUGCGCAAGGAUGACAUGCAAAUUUGUUCUAUAUUAAAGUAAAUG
Small nuclear RNA from Artibeus jamaicensis (Jamaican fruit-eating bat), 107 nucleotides. Lineage: Eukaryota; Metazoa; Chordata; Mammalia; Chiroptera; Phyllostomidae. The record is from RefSeq and is a predicted model, not a curated record.